CUGAGUUUCGCUUUCUGACAGCGAUGGGCUAGCCACUCCUGGGCCCCUGCAUUCGUUCCCAUCUCAAAACAUGGGGCUGAGCGCCUCCCCCUCACCCAGCUGACCUAUGGGGUUUCUGGUCUGUACCUGUCUGUAAAAUCCUUUUCCUGACAGUGCCACCUGCCUUCCUAAAGCCUUUUAGAACUCACAACUCCUGUCUGUCCCCAAGCUAACCAGUCCUUGCAUGCUGCACCCCUGGGUCUCCAGCUGCUCAUUCUGCUACAAAGCCGCCUUGUCAUGUACUGUCCUCGGCCUGGAGAUGGGGCCAAGAGCCAGGAGGAAUUCCUCGCUCUGGAGUGUUACUCUUGAAGAGGAAAAAACAGGUGCUGGACAGCAAGGAGAGGAGGCCGGAGGAGGCAGCCUCCAUGCUCAGCCCGGUACCUGUGCUUGGAUUUCCCCGCGUGUCCCACGGAGGCAAAUGCACAUGUAUGAAGGGUCUCGCUAAGUUGCUCAGGCUGG
Marmota flaviventris (yellow-bellied marmot) is the source of this 498-nucleotide long non-coding RNA. RefSeq lists it as uncharacterized. Lineage: Eukaryota; Metazoa; Chordata; Mammalia; Rodentia; Sciuridae. The record is from RefSeq and is a predicted model, not a curated record.